This 76-nucleotide transfer RNA is filed under the name Acidocella sp. RNAcentral's name for it is "tRNA-Phe". It matches the Rfam family "tRNA". Rfam says of the family: Transfer RNA (tRNA) molecules are approximately 80 nucleotides in length. Their secondary structure includes four short double-helical elements and three loops (D, anti-codon, and T loops). The record is from RNAcentral. RNAcentral also lists the same sequence under 4 other names. Lineage: Bacteria; Pseudomonadati; Pseudomonadota; Alphaproteobacteria; Acetobacterales; Acidocellaceae.
GCCCAGGUAGCUCAGUUGGUAGAGCAUGCGAUUGAAAAUUGCAGUGUCACUGGUUCGAUUCCAGUCCUGGGCACCA